UACGUAGGGGGCAAGCGUUGUCCGGAAUCAUUGGGCGUAAAGCGCGCGUAGGCGGCCCGGUAAGUCCGCUCUGAAAGUCCAGGGCUCAACCCUGGAAAGCGGGUGGAUACUGCCGGGCUAGAAUCCGGAAGAGGCGAGUGGAAUUCCUGGUGUAGCGGUGAAAUGCGCAGAUAUCAGGAGGAACACCAAUUGCGAAGGCAGCUCGCUGGGACGUUACUGACGCUGAGGCACGAAAGCGUGGGGAGCAAACAGG
This 253-nucleotide ribosomal RNA is filed under the name uncultured bacterium. RNAcentral's name for it is "partial 16S ribosomal RNA". It matches the Rfam family "Bacterial small subunit ribosomal RNA", at positions 524 to 776 of the family's 1533-position model. The record is from RNAcentral.